Molecule: ribosomal RNA, 479 nt
Filed under: uncultured bacterium
Lineage: Bacteria
Description: partial 16S ribosomal RNA
Rfam family: Bacterial small subunit ribosomal RNA
Source: RNAcentral
GAUGAACGCUGGCGGCGUGCUUAACACAUGCAAGUCGAACGAAGCACUUAAGAUUGAUUCUUCUGAUGACGUCUUUUGUGACUUAGUGGCGGACGGGUGAGUAACGCGUGGGUAACCUGCCUCACACAGGGGGAUAACAGUUAGAAAUGACUGCUAAUACCGCAUAACCCGAUAGGAUCGCAUGAUCCAGACGGAAAAGAUUUAUCGGUGUGGGAUGGACCCGCGUCUGAUUAGCUAGUUCGUGAGGUAACGGCGCACCAAGGCGAGGAUCAGUAGACGGACAGAGAGGGUGAACGGACACAUUGGGACUGAGACACGGCCCGAACUACUACGGGAGGCAGCAGUGGGGAAUAUUGCAAAAUGGGGGGAACCCUGAUGCAGCGACGCCGCGUGAGUGAAGAAGUAUUUCGGUAUGUAAAGCUCUAUCAGCAGGGAAGAGAAUGACGGUACCUGACGAAGAAGCCCCGGCUAACUACGUG